This 468-nucleotide ribosomal RNA is filed under the name uncultured bacterium. Its description in RNAcentral is "partial 16S ribosomal RNA". It matches the Rfam family "Bacterial small subunit ribosomal RNA", at positions 28 to 507 of the family's 1533-position model. The record is from RNAcentral.
GACGAACGCUGGCGGCGUGCUUAACACAUGCAAGUCGAACGGAAAGGCCCUGCUUUUGUGGGGUGCUCGAGUGGCGAACGGGUGAGUAACACGUGAGUAACCUGCCCUUGACUUUGGGAUAACUUCAGGAAACUGGGGCUCAUACCGGAUAGGAGCUCCUGCUGCAUGGUGGGGGUUGGAAAGUUUCGGCGGUUGGGGAUGGACUCGCGGCUUAUCAGCUUGUUGGUGGGGUAGUGGCUUACCAAGGCUUUGACGGGUAGCCGGCCUGAGAGGGUGACCGGCCACAUUGGGACUGAGAUACGGCCCAGACUCCUACGGGAGGCAGCAGGGGGGAAUAUUGCACAAUGGGCGGAAGCCUGAUGCAGCAACGCCGCGUGCGGGAUGACGGCCUUCGGGUUGUAAACCGCUGUCGCCUGUGACGAAGCGGGAGUGACGGUAAUGGGUAAAGAAGCACCGGCUAACUACGUG